This is a long non-coding RNA of Culex quinquefasciatus (southern house mosquito), 748 nucleotides long. RefSeq lists it as uncharacterized. The record is from RefSeq and is a predicted model, not a curated record. Lineage: Eukaryota; Metazoa; Arthropoda; Insecta; Diptera; Culicidae. The transcript is spliced from 3 exons.
GCUAAAAAAUGACCCUUCUAGGCUAGGGGUCGGACAGAUCGGUCAAUACAUUAUCAACGCAUUAAAAUAAUUGGUCAGUAUAUCGACAUUUCGUCAAUAUAUUAACGAAAUCCCACCAUGCCUUUAGAAACCUUGUCCCGACGUCGUUCCAGAAAACCAAGCGUUUCGGCGCUGUUCUACAUGGAAAGUGACGACCUGUUUUCACCCCAAAUCGGCUCGAAAUCAUAGGACAUAGUCUCGUUACGGUGAACCAGAUCAACCAACUGCCGGAUGCUGAUGCGGAGUCGAGCCGAUGGACCUGUUUGAGCGGGUUCGAGUGAGCGGAUGCCAGUGGAAGUUGGACGAGCAGAUUUCGGUCCGGUCCGAUCGAAUGUUGUUGAAGAAGCGGGACAGGAGCGAGGAAGGGUUGAACUGAAGCGAUUGAGGAGAUUCUUUUCCGGUUCUAAACAACCUCGGCGAGCUUUGCUCGUUCAAGCGCAUCCGGUACGAUCGCCAUUACCAGAUUCAAUCCAGUGGCGGCGGUCGAAAGAUUCCGGGAACCAACAACACGAUUUACAUUGUUUCGGCACUUGAUUGCGGAAGUUCUAAGCGGAACGCGGAGGUGCUAAAUCGUUUCGUCCCAGUUGCUGCACUUUUUCAACCAGACCUUCAAACGGUUCGCGGGAUACAUGCCAACGAGCAUGAGCAUGAGAGACCACCCAUGGUUGUCCUUCUCCGUUGCCGAACAGAACCGUAAUAUCCGUUCAGC